UGCUGAGGGAACAAUGGUGAAGAAGAGAGUGACUACCCACUCUUCUGGGACACAUAUUUUAGGAGAAGACACAGUUCACUUCCCUCAAAAGACAAAUAAGUAUAUGAAUAAAAUGACCUGACAUGGCAAUUUCUGCUAAGAAAGGAAUAAAUUGGGGACUAAGAUCAAGAAUGAUGAUGGAGAAACUUACUCUAGACCAUUUUGCUGCUGGUGGAGACUGGACUGGAGUGAAGCAAGCACUGAAGUGAGGAGACCCAAUGAGAAGUCUGUUCCUAUAAUGUGAGCAUAAGAUUGUGAUGGUCUAAAAAGGGGAAGCAAAGAGACUGAAGGCAAACAAUCUAUCGAAGAUAAAAUCUCCAGGACAUUUCACUGAAUUGCAUGUGAGACUUUGCAGUAAGGACUGGUACGUCAGAGAGACUGGACCCUCUUACUCUGACCUCCACCAAGUAUAAGAUAAAGAAAAAAACAUCACUGUGAUUCAUUCAUGUUUACGUCUACGACAACAGUCUGAAAAAGAGCACCCUGUAAACUCAAAUAUAAUUUUCCAUCUUUUACUCAUCUCCUUUCUUGAAGUGGAAGGGUUUUCCUUGAGAGGCUCAGAGGUCAAGAUGGCCUUCAUAAUGAAGGGAUCAAGAAGAGGGUUAUGGGGAGGACGAAGAACGGAAGGAAGACAGAGAGGUUGGGUGCUGUAGGCCCUUUGGGGUUUUCACAUGUAAAAAUCUCUGAGACUCUUUCUGUGUGAAAAGUGCUAGCCUGCCUUUGAAUUGGAUCUUUCUUAAUCAACCAUACUAAAUGUAAUAUUUUUAAAAUUAUCUUUGGCUGUUGAACUGAGCCUGUUUCAACAUAAUUCCAUCUGGAACUGAGACAUCUCAAGGAUUCAUCUGGGUUCUCUAUGUCAUGGUUCCAUUACUUGGGACCUGUAAUCUAGACCUGCUUCCAAGAGUAAAAGAGACUGAAUACUCAUUAAUUUGCCUAAUUAACUCAUGUAGAUAAAAUGGUAACAUUUAAACAUCACUGACAUUACCACAUAAAUAACAAGAUGAAAGCCACUUGAAA
Non-coding RNA from Manis javanica (Malayan pangolin), 1056 nucleotides. The record is from RefSeq and is a predicted model, not a curated record. NCBI's taxonomy places the organism in Eukaryota, Metazoa, Chordata, Mammalia, Pholidota, Manidae.